GACGAACGCUGGCGGCGUGCCUAACACAUGCAAGUCGAGCGAAUGAAGUUCCUUCGGGAAUGGAUUUAGCGGCGGACGGGUGAGUAACACGUGGGCAACCUGCCUCAUAGAGGGGAAUAGCCUUCCGAAAGGGAGAUUAAUACCGCAUAAGAUUGUAGUAUCGCAUGAUACAGCAAUUAAAGGAGCAAUCCGCUAUGAGAUGGGCCCGCGGCGCAUUAGGUAGUUGGUGAGGUAACGGCUCACCAAGGCGACGAUGCGUAGCCGACCUGAGAGGGUGAUCGGCCACAUUGGGACUGAGACACGGCCCAGACUCCUACGGGAAGCAGCAGUGGGGAAUAUUGCACAAUGGGGGAAACCCUGAUGCAGCAACGCCGCGUGAGUGAUGACGGCCUUCGGGUUGUAAAGCUCUGUCUUCAGGGACGAUAAUGACGGUACCUGAGGAGGAAGCCACGGCUAACUACGUG
Molecule: ribosomal RNA, 464 nt
Filed under: uncultured bacterium
Lineage: Bacteria
Description: partial 16S ribosomal RNA
Rfam family: Bacterial small subunit ribosomal RNA
Source: RNAcentral